AUUGAACGCUGGCUGCACGCUUAACACAUGCAAGUCGAACGGUAACAGUCGGAGCUUGCUCCGAGCUGACGAGUGGCGAACGGGUGAGUAAUGCAUAGGCACCUGCCCUGAAGCGGGGGAUAACCUGGGGAAACUCAGACUAAUACCGCGUAAUCUCUACGGAGCAAAGCCUGGGACCUUCGGGCCAGGCGCUUUAGGAUGGGCCUAUGUCAGAUUAGCUAGUUGGUGGGGUAAUGGCUCACCAAGGCGACGAUCUGUAGCUGGUCUGAGAGGAUGGUCAGCCACACUGGGACUGAGACACGGCCCAGACUCCUACGGGAGGCAGCAGUGGGGAAUAUUGGACAAUGGGGGCAACCCUGAUCCAGCGAUGCAGCGUGUGUGAAGAAGGCCUGCGGGUUUGUAAAGCACUUUCAGCGGUGAGGAAAGGGUUUGCGUUAAUAGCGUAGACUUGUGACGUUAACCGCAGAAGAAGCACC
This 476-nucleotide ribosomal RNA is filed under the name uncultured bacterium. RNAcentral describes it as "bacterial SSU rRNA". It matches the Rfam family "Bacterial small subunit ribosomal RNA", at positions 30 to 494 of the family's 1533-position model. The record is from RNAcentral.